GAUUGAGAGAAGCGAUAUUAACCCGUGGGGCUCAUAACCCCAGGGUCGGUGGUUCAAAUCUACUCCAGUUUCCA
Molecule: transfer RNA, 74 nt
Filed under: Chloroflexota bacterium
Lineage: Bacteria; Bacillati; Chloroflexota
Description: Chloroflexi bacterium (marine metagenome) tRNA-Met
Source: RNAcentral